Molecule: non-coding RNA, 78 nt
Organism: Pelobates cultripes (western spadefoot toad)
Lineage: Eukaryota; Metazoa; Chordata; Amphibia; Anura; Pelobatidae
Source: the annotation of a GenBank genome assembly
GUGUGUGUGUGUGUGUGUGUGUGUGUGUGUGUAUAUAUAUAUAUAUAUAUAUAUCACAUACACCACACAUAUAUACCA